GCGAAUCCCAAAAAGUGCGUCGUAGUCCGGAUUGGAGUCUGCAACUCGACUCCAUGAAGUCGGAAUCGCUAGUAAUCGUGGAUCAGAAUGCCACGGUGAAUACGUUCCCGGGCCUUGUACACACCGCCCGUCACACCAUGGGAGUGGGCUGCAAAAGAAGUAGGUAGUUUAACCUUCGGGGGGACGCUUACCACUUUGUGGUUCAUGACUGGGGUGAAGUCGUAACAAGGUAGCGCUAGGGGAACCUGGCGCUGGAUCACCUCCUUAAACGAUGAU
This 276-nucleotide ribosomal RNA is filed under the name Vibrio parahaemolyticus. RNAcentral describes it as "partial 16S ribosomal RNA". It matches the Rfam family "Bacterial small subunit ribosomal RNA", at positions 1267 to 1533 of the family's 1533-position model. The record is from RNAcentral. Lineage: Bacteria; Pseudomonadati; Pseudomonadota; Gammaproteobacteria; Vibrionales; Vibrionaceae.